Molecule: ribosomal RNA, 1372 nt
Filed under: uncultured bacterium
Lineage: Bacteria
Description: bacterial SSU rRNA
Rfam family: Bacterial small subunit ribosomal RNA
Source: RNAcentral
GAUGAACGCUGGCGGCGUGCCUAAUACAUGCAAGUCGAGCGAACGGACGAGAAGCUUGCUUCUCUGAUGUUAGCGGCGGACGGGUGAGUAACACGUGGAUAACCUACCUAUAAGACUGGGAUAACUUCGGGAAACCGGAGCUAAUACCGGAUAAUAUUUUGAACCGCAUGGUUCAAAAGUGAAAGACGGUCUUGCUGUCACUUAUAGAUGGAUCCGCGCUGCAUUAGCUAGUUGGUAAGGUAACGGCUUACCAAGGCAACGAUGCAUAGCCGACCUGAGAGGGUGAUCGGCCACACUGGAACUGAGACACGGUCCAGACUCCUACGGGAGGCAGCAGUAGGGAAUCUUCCGCAAUGGGCGAAAGCCUGACGGAGCAACGCCGCGUGAGUGAUGAAGGUCUUCGGAUCGUAAAACUCUGUUAUUAGGGAAGAACAUAUGUGUAAGUAACUGUGCACAUCUUGACGGUACCUAAUCAGAAAGCCACGGCUAACUACGUGCCAGCAGCCGCGGUAAUACGUAGGUGGCAAGCGUUAUCCGGAAUUAUUGGGCGUAAAGCGCGCGUAGGCGGUUUUUUAAGUCUGAUGUGAAAGCCCACGGCUCAACCGUGGAGGGUCAUUGGAAACUGGAAAACUUGAGUGCAGAAGAGGAAAGUGGAAUUCCAUGUGUAGCGGUGAAAUGCGCAGAGAUAUGGAGGAACACCAGUGGCGAAGGCGACUUUCUGGUCUGUAACUGACGCUGAUGUGCGAAAGCGUGGGGAUCAAACAGGAUUAGAUACCCUGGUAGUCCACGCCGUAAACGAUGAGUGCUAAGUGUUAGGGGGUUUCCGCCCCUUAGUGCUGCAGCUAACGCAUUAAACACUCCGCCUGGGGAGUACGACCGCAAGGUUGAAACUCAAAGGAAUUGACGGGGACCCGCACAAGCGGUGGAGCAUGUGGUUUAAUUCGAAGCAACGCGAAGAACCUUACCAAAUCUUGACAUCCUUUGACAACUCUAGAGAUAGAGCCUUCCCCUUCGGGGGACAAAGUGACAGGUGGUGCAUGGUUGUCGUCAGCUCGUGUCGUGAGAUGUUGGGUUAAGUCCCGCAACGAGCGCAACCCUUAAGCUUAGUUGCCAUCAUUAAGUUGGGCACUCUAAGUUGACUGCCGGUGACAAACCGGAGGAAGGUGGGGAUGACGUCAAAUCAUCAUGCCCCUUAUGAUUUGGGCUACACACGUGCUACAAUGGACAAUACAAAGGGCAGCGAAACCGCGAGGUCAAGCAAAUCCCAUAAAGUUGUUCUCAGUUCGGAUUGUAGUCUGCAACUCGACUACAUGAAGCUGGAAUCGCUAGUAAUCGUAGAUCAGCAUGCUACGGUGAAUACGUUCCCGGGUCU